RNAcentral lists this ribosomal RNA (458 nucleotides) under uncultured bacterium. RNAcentral describes it as "partial 16S ribosomal RNA". It matches the Rfam family "Bacterial small subunit ribosomal RNA", at positions 338 to 795 of the family's 1533-position model. The record is from RNAcentral.
UCUACGGGAGGCUGCAGUGGGGAAUAUUGCACAAUGGGGGAAACCCUGUUGCAGCGACGCCGCGUGAGUGAAGAAGUAUUUCGGUAUGUAAAGCUCUAUCAGCAGGGAAGAAAUAGCGACCUUUGGGUCGCCAGACGGUACCUGAUUAAGAAGCCCCGGCUAACUACGUGCCAGCAGCCGCGGUAAUACGUAGGGGGCAAGCGUUAUCCGGAUUUACUGGGUGUAAAGGGAGCGUAGACGGCAGCGCAAGUCUGAAGUGAAAUGCCGGGGCUUAACCCCGGAACUGCUUUGGAAACUGUGCAGCUAGAGUGCAGGAGAGGUAAGUGGAAGUCCUAGUGUAGCGGUGAAAUGCGUAGAUAUUAGGAGGAACACCAGUGGCGAAGGCGGCUUACUGGACUGUAACUGACGUUGAGGCUCGAAAGCGUGGGGAGCAAACAGGAUUAGAUACCCCAGUAGUC